AAUCAACGCUGGCGGCGUGCCUCAGACAUGCAAGUCGAACGCGAAACCUUCCUUCGGGAGGGGAGUAGAGUGGCGCACGGGUGAGUAACACGUAGGUAAUCUACCUUUGGGUGGGGAAUAACAGCCGGAAACGGCUGCUAAUACCGCAUAAUGCAGCGGCUCGACAUCGAGACAGUUGUUAAAGCGGGGGAUCGUAAGACCUCGCGCCUAAAGAGGAGCCUGCGGCAGAUAGCUAGUUGGUAGGGUAAUGGCUUACAGA
This 259-nucleotide ribosomal RNA is filed under the name uncultured bacterium. RNAcentral's name for it is "partial 16S ribosomal RNA". It matches the Rfam family "Bacterial small subunit ribosomal RNA", at positions 32 to 271 of the family's 1533-position model. The record is from RNAcentral.